RNAcentral lists this ribosomal RNA (389 nucleotides) under Prymnesium sp. RNAcentral describes it as "partial small subunit ribosomal RNA". It matches the Rfam family "Eukaryotic small subunit ribosomal RNA", at positions 582 to 975 of the family's 1831-position model. The record is from RNAcentral. Lineage: Eukaryota; Haptophyta; Prymnesiales; Prymnesiaceae.
AUUCCAGCUCCAAUAGCGUAUAUUAAAGUUGUUGCAGUUAAAACGCUCGUAGUCGGAUUUCGGGGCGGCUUCGCCGGUCUGCCGAUGGGUAUGCACUGGCGAGGGCGUCCUUCCUUCCGGAGACUGGCCCUACUCUUAACUGAGCGGGGUCGGGAGUCGGAUCGUUUACUUUGAAAAAAUCAGAGUGUUUCAAGCAGGCAUAUCGUUCUUGCAUGGAUUAGCAUGGGAUAAUGAAAUAGGACUUUGGUGCUAUUUUGUUGGUUUCGAACACCGAAGUAAUGAUUAACAGGGACAGUCAGGGGCACUCGUAUUCCGCCGAGAGAGGUGAAAUUCUCAGACCAGCGGAAGACGAACUACUGCGAAAGCAUUUGCCAGGGAUGUUUUCAUUA